Long non-coding RNA from Dryobates pubescens (Downy woodpecker), 914 nucleotides. RefSeq lists it as uncharacterized. The transcript has 4 exons. Lineage: Eukaryota; Metazoa; Chordata; Aves; Piciformes; Picidae. The record is from RefSeq and is a predicted model, not a curated record.
GAUGACUUCAAACAUUUGCAGGAGCCAUGCUGACACUCAGAAUGAAGAAACAUCAAAAAACUUUCCUAGUGAGAUCAUAAAAGCAGAGACACAAUGAUCAAAGCAAGAAAACACAAGACUCUUACUCCAUCCCUAACACAAGAUGCUUUCUCUUUCUAGGACCAGGAGCUUACCUGGUGUGGAGAUGUUCCAGUAGUCUACACACAGUAUAUGAGUUUGCUUCUUCAGCUAUGGGACCAGAUGGCUCCCAUGCAUAAUGCACUGAAUCAUGGCAAGGCUGGAGGUAUUUGUUAUGGAUAACAGCAAACACAUGCGCUGGACCAGGUUAAACUCUUCCCCUGUCAGCAUAUGGUGCAUACUGCAUACGGAUGGUACUACAGCAGGAGGUGUCCCAGGCCAUCCUGUAACUACAGCAGGAUGCUCCAGGAGUGAACACAAAGAAAGAGCAGUGCGGCCAAAACCAGUCUCUGCUGACAACAACAUUUCCUGAAGACCUACCAGUGCUUCUGGAGGGUGAAGCAGGUCUGAGAGACAUCCAGUGAAAAUUAACAGCAAAGUGAAAAUUAAUAACAAUGAAAAUUGUUAAACAGUGAAAAUUAAUAGCAAAGUUCAAUGGACAUCUGCAAAUAGAUGGAAGCCUAAUGCAGGACAAGCAUUUUCAGAGUCAAGGUUUUUGGCUCAUCUGCAAAGAUGACCCAGGCUCCUACAGACCUCACUGCUACACUACCCAGGUCUAGCCUUACAAAGGCUUUAUGGAACUGGCACAUGAAAUUAUUCCCACAGGAGAUGUGGAACAAGGGAUGUGAAGCCUCAUAUGCUCAGAGGCUUUUUGUGCAACUGUGAGAAGCCUGUGGGGGCACAAUCUGCCAGGGCAUGCUGGAGGCUGGUGGCAGGACAUGGGAUGAGCCCAGACC